GCCCCUGUAGUUAAAUGGAUAUAACCGCGGACUUCUAAGCCGCUGUUCGAGGUUCGAUUCCUCGCAGGGGCA
This 72-nucleotide transfer RNA is filed under the name Candidatus Adlerbacteria bacterium RIFCSPHIGHO2_12_FULL_53_18. RNAcentral's name for it is "tRNA-Arg". It matches the Rfam family "tRNA". From Rfam's summary of the family: Transfer RNA (tRNA) molecules are approximately 80 nucleotides in length. Their secondary structure includes four short double-helical elements and three loops (D, anti-codon, and T loops). The record is from RNAcentral. Lineage: Bacteria; Candidatus Adleribacteriota.